RNAcentral lists this ribosomal RNA (520 nucleotides) under uncultured Glomus. Its description in RNAcentral is "SSU rRNA". It matches the Rfam family "Eukaryotic small subunit ribosomal RNA", at positions 569 to 1091 of the family's 1831-position model. The record is from RNAcentral. Lineage: Eukaryota; Fungi; Glomeromycota; Glomeromycetes; Glomerales; Glomeraceae.
AGCAGCCGCGGUAAUUCCAGCUCCAAUAGCGUAUAUUAAAGUUGUUGCAGUUAAAAAGCUCGUAGUUGAAUUUCGGGAUCAAUACGUCGGUCGUGCUUCGGUACGUACUGGCGUCAUUGAUUUCUCCCUUCUGACGAACCAUGAUGUCAUUAACUUGGUGUCAUGGGAAAUCAGGACUGUUACUUUGAAAAAAUUAGAGUGUUUAAAGCAGGCUCACGCUUGAAUACAUUAGCAUGGAAUAAUGAAAUAGGACGUUCGAUCCUAUUUUGUUGGUUUUUAGGAUCAACGUAAUGAUUAAUAGGGAUAGUUGGGGGCAUUAGUAUUCAAUUGUCAGAGGUGAAAUUCUUGGAUUUAUUGAAGACUAGCUACUGCGAAAGCAUUUGCCAAGGAUGUUUUCAUUAAUCAAGAACGAAAGUUAGGGGAUCGAAGACGAUCAGAUACCGUCGUAGUCUUAACCAUAAACUAUGCCGACUAGGGAUCGGAUGAUGUUAAUUUUUUAAUGACUCAUUCGGCGCCUUAC